This 92-nucleotide transfer RNA is filed under the name Gammaproteobacteria bacterium. Its description in RNAcentral is "tRNA-Ser". It matches the Rfam family "tRNA". From Rfam's summary of the family: Transfer RNA (tRNA) molecules are approximately 80 nucleotides in length. Their secondary structure includes four short double-helical elements and three loops (D, anti-codon, and T loops). The record is from RNAcentral. Lineage: Bacteria; Pseudomonadati; Pseudomonadota; Gammaproteobacteria. RNAcentral also lists the same sequence under 1 other name.
GGAGAGGUGGCCGAGUGGUCGAAGGCGCUUGCUUGGAAAGCAAGUGUACGUCUCAAAGCGUACCGUGGGUUCGAAUCCCACUCUCUCCGCCA